CGGGGUGAGUAACGCGUGAGGAACCUGCCUCAGAGAGGGGGAUAACACACCGAAAGGUGUGCUAAUACCGCAUAACAUAUGAGAGGGGCAUCCCUUUCAUAUCAAAGAUUUAUUGCUCUGAGAUGGCCUCGCGUCCAAUUAGCUAGUUGGUGAGGUAACGGCCCACCAAGGCGACGAUUGGUAGCCGGACUGAGAGGUUGAACGGCCACAUUGGGACUGAGACACGGACCAGACUCCUACGGAAGGCAGCAG
This 252-nucleotide ribosomal RNA is filed under the name uncultured bacterium. RNAcentral describes it as "partial 16S ribosomal RNA". It matches the Rfam family "Bacterial small subunit ribosomal RNA", at positions 100 to 354 of the family's 1533-position model. The record is from RNAcentral.